RNAcentral lists this microRNA (21 nucleotides) under Paeonia lactiflora (Chinese peony). RNAcentral describes it as "pla-miR11599". The record is from miRBase by way of RNAcentral. Lineage: Eukaryota; Viridiplantae; Streptophyta; Magnoliopsida; Saxifragales; Paeoniaceae.
UUCAACCGUGGUAGAUGUUAA